RNAcentral lists this ribosomal RNA (748 nucleotides) under uncultured bacterium. Its description in RNAcentral is "bacterial SSU rRNA". It matches the Rfam family "Bacterial small subunit ribosomal RNA", at positions 169 to 930 of the family's 1533-position model. The record is from RNAcentral.
CCCCAUAACAUUGCGAGGUGGCAUUACUUUGCAAUUAAAGUUACGGCGCUUAGAGAUUGGUGUGCGUCUGAUUAGCUAGUUGGCGGGGUAAAGGCCCACCAAGGCGACGAUCAGUAGGGGGUGUGAGAGCAUGACCCCCCACAUGGGUACUGAGACACGGACCCAACUCCUACGGGAGGCAGCAGUAAGGAAUAUUGGACAAUGGGCGAAAGCCUGAUCCAGCAACGCCGCGUGAGGGAUGACGGCCUUCGGGUUGUAAACCUCUUUCAGUAGGGACGAAGCGCAAGUGACGGUACCUACAGAAGAAGCACCGGCCAACUACGUGCCAGCAGCCGCGGUAAUACGUAGGGGGCGAGCGUUGUCCGGAAUUAUUGGGCGUAAAGGGCUCGUAGGCGGUUUGUCGCGUCGGGAGUGAAAACUCAGGGCUUAACCCUGAGCCUGCUUCCGAUACGGGCAGACUAGAGGUAUGCAGGGGAGAACGGAAUUCCUGGUGUAGCGGUGAAAUGCGCAGAUAUCAGGAGGAACACCGGUGGCGAAGGCGGUUCUCUGGGCAUUACCUGACGCUGAGGAGCGAAAGUGUGGGGAACGAACAGGAUUAGAUACCCUGGUAGUCCACACCGUAAACGUUGGGCGCUAGGUGUGGGACUCAUUCCACGAGUUCCGUGCCGCAGCUAACGCAUUAAGCGCCCCGCCUGGGGAGUACGGCCGCAAGGCUAAAACUCAAAGGAAUUGACGGAAUCGAAUUCCC